GGGGCUGUUAUAUGGUUUUCGACGAUUAAAAUAUUUAUAAACUUAUUAAACAAUGUUUAACCUUAGUUAACAAAUAAAGCAAACCUGCUUUGCUUAAGUUUCUGAUAAUUUUCUAGCCUUAAAUGGUCAAUACUUCUAAAAAUCAUUAUAGAAAACAAAAAAUUUUUAUAUGAUUAGAAUUAUAAUUAUAUAUAUAUACUAUUAAUCAUAUAUUGAAAAAAAUAGUUUUAAUUUUUAGUCGGAUGUAGGUUCAAAUCCUACCAGCUCCA
RNAcentral lists this non-coding RNA (269 nucleotides) under Chlorobotrys sp. The record is from RNAcentral. Lineage: Eukaryota; Eustigmatophyceae; Eustigmatales; Chlorobotryaceae.